This 393-nucleotide ribosomal RNA is filed under the name uncultured bacterium. RNAcentral's name for it is "partial 16S ribosomal RNA". It matches the Rfam family "Bacterial small subunit ribosomal RNA", at positions 523 to 918 of the family's 1533-position model. The record is from RNAcentral.
AUACGGAGGAUCCGAGCGUUAUCCGGAUUUAUUGGGUUUAAAGGGAGCGUAGGUGGAUUGUUAAGUCAGUUGUGAAAGUUUGCGGCUCAACCGUAAAAUUGCAGUUGAAACUGGCAGUCUUGAGUACAGUAGAGGUGGGCGGAAUUCGUGGUGUAGCGGUGAAAUGCUUAGAUAUCACGAAGAACUCCGAUUGCGAAGGCAGCUCACUAGACUGUUACUGACACUGAUGCUCGAAAGUGUGGGUAUCAAACAGGAUUAGAUACCCUGGUAGUCCACACAGUAAACGAUGAAUACUCGCUGUUUGCGGUAUACAGUAAGCGGCCAAGCGAAAGCGUUAAGUAUUCCACCUGGGGAGUACGCCGGCAACGGUGAAACUCAAAGGAAAUGACGGGG